Long non-coding RNA from Pocillopora damicornis (cauliflower coral), 531 nucleotides. Lineage: Eukaryota; Metazoa; Cnidaria; Anthozoa; Scleractinia; Pocilloporidae. The record is from RefSeq and is a predicted model, not a curated record.
UGCUACAUCAACAACAAACUGAAGCAAGAAAAGAGUGAUAAAAAACCUAGAAAUUGCUAAACAAAGUGUACAUUUGCGAAAUCUUCUUGUCCUCUGUGUCACGCACACUAAGCAUUUAGGUCCGCUCUCAGGAUUGACUGGUUUAACAGAUCAAGAACCGGAAAAAGGUGGAAUUUCCUGCAACUUGAUUUUAUUGCUCGAUGCAGACAGCAAAUACAAUAGAGUCGAUACUGAAACGUGAUGUUGUUCUCUGAGAUAAAGGACUGAUUACUAAAUACUGAUGCUGGCUUAAGUUAGAACCUUUCCGGUUUUUAUUAAACAUUAUCGCAGGAAUGUUAGCUCCUGAAAAGGAAAAUAGUCGAGUUCACUGUGUAAUUAGCUUGGAAAAGGACCUGGAGGAUUCUAAGAAUUUUCUCAUUAGCUCGAUUGGUGCCAAUUUCACUCAGUAUUCAGGAAAAUUGUCUCUUUUCCUAAUGUGGUGGGUGAUCUGAUGUUGAUAUUAAUAAAAACUUACUCUUUCCGUCCUAAGAU